UACGAGGGGGGCGAGCGUUGUUCGGAAUUAUUGGGCGUAAAGGGUGCGUAGGCGGUUUUGUAAGUCUUAUGUGAAAUCUAUGGGCUCAACUCAUAGACUGCAUGAGAAACUGCAGGGCUUGAGUAUGGGAGAGGUGAGUGGAAUUCCUGGUAUAGCGGUGAAAUGCGUAGAUAUCAGGAGGAACACCUGUGGCGAAAGCGGCUCACUGGACCAUAACUGACGCUGAUGCACGAAAGCUAGGGGAGCAAACAGG
RNAcentral lists this ribosomal RNA (253 nucleotides) under uncultured bacterium. RNAcentral describes it as "partial 16S ribosomal RNA". It matches the Rfam family "Bacterial small subunit ribosomal RNA", at positions 524 to 776 of the family's 1533-position model. The record is from RNAcentral.